Small nuclear RNA from Jaculus jaculus (lesser Egyptian jerboa), 107 nucleotides. The record is from Ensembl. NCBI's taxonomy places the organism in Eukaryota, Metazoa, Chordata, Mammalia, Rodentia, Dipodidae.
GUGCUUGCUUUGACAGCACAUAUACUAAAAUUGGAGCCAUACAGAGAAGAUGAGCAUGGCCCCUUUGCCAGGAUGACAUGCAAAUUCAUGAAGUGUUCCAUAUUUUU